Molecule: long non-coding RNA, 519 nt
Organism: Populus euphratica (Euphrates poplar)
Lineage: Eukaryota; Viridiplantae; Streptophyta; Magnoliopsida; Malpighiales; Salicaceae
Exons: 3
Source: RefSeq, a predicted model, not a curated record
GUCCCAAUCUCAAACAGCUUCCUCCUUGCUACUUUUCCUCUUUAUGAGCUUCCUGUACUCUCUCUACCAUGUUUUCCUUUGUCAUGCCCAGCUCACCUUAACCUCACACAUUCACCUUGAUUGGCCGAUUCCCUACUUCCUACACUGUUCUUCAUGCUCUCACACAGAUUGAACCCAGUCACCAAUGUUUGUAGCUGAGUGUAAAUGAAGCCCAUCUGCUACCGAUCUGCUGCCUGUAUGAACUCCUUUCGCAGUUGAAGAAGACACACACUCACCAAGAACCAAAUAGGGCAUCAAAAUCAGUCUCCUGGAAAGCUAAAGCACAUGCAGUCUUACCAAUCUUUGUUUUAAUUGCACAAGUAACUUCAAGGAGAUACGCAGAGCAAGAAAGUUUAGGCAUGCUAACAUCGAUCCCACAUUAUAUUGUAAAUAUGAUAUUAUGUUUACAAACAUUAUUGCUAUUGCUCAGUAUGUUUGGGCUCAAUCAUAGGGUUUGAAUUUUGAUGAAGAUGGUGUAGG